RNAcentral lists this ribosomal RNA (465 nucleotides) under Vreelandella stevensii. RNAcentral's name for it is "partial 16S ribosomal RNA". It matches the Rfam family "Bacterial small subunit ribosomal RNA", at positions 338 to 795 of the family's 1533-position model. Lineage: Bacteria; Pseudomonadati; Pseudomonadota; Gammaproteobacteria; Oceanospirillales; Halomonadaceae. The record is from RNAcentral.
CCUAGGGGGUGCUGCAGUGGGGAAUAUUGGACAAUGGGCGAAAGCCUGAUCCAGCCAUGCCGCGUGUGUGAAGAAGGCCUUCGGGUUGUAAAGCACUUUCAGUGGGGAAGAAAGCCUUGGGGCUAAUACCCUCGAGGAAGGACAUCACCCACAGAAGAAGCACCGGCUAACUCCGUGCCAGCAGCCGCGGUAAUACGGAGGGUGCGAGCGUUAAUCGGAAUUACUGGGCGUAAAGCGCGCGUAGGCGGUCUGAUAAGCCGGUUGUGAAAGCCCCGGGCUCAACCUGGGAACGGCAUCCGGAACUGUCAGGCUAGAGUGCAGGAGAGGAAGGUAGAAUUCCCGGUGUAGCGGUGAAAUGCGUAGAGAUCGGGAGGAAUACCAGUGGCGAAGGCGGCCUUCUGGACUGACACUGACGCUGAGGUGCGAAAGCGUGGGUAGCAAACAGGAUUAGAUACCCGAGUAGUC